CAGUAGCCGCGGGAAUACGGAGGGCGCGAGCGUUACCCGGAUUUACUGGGCGUAAAGGGCGUGUAGGCGGCCUGGGGCGUCCCAUGUGAAAGGCCACGGCUCGACCGUGGAGGAGCGUGGGAUACGCUCAGGCUAGAGGGUGGGAGAGGGUGGUGGAAUUCCCGGAGUAGCGGUGAAAUGCGCAGAUACCGGGAGGAACGCCGAUGGCGAAGGCAGCCACCUGGUCCACUUCUGACGCUGAGGCGCGAAAGCGUGGGGAGCAAACCGGAUUAGAUACCCGCGUAGUCCCUGUCUCUUAUAC
RNAcentral lists this ribosomal RNA (301 nucleotides) under uncultured bacterium. Its description in RNAcentral is "partial 16S ribosomal RNA". It matches the Rfam family "Bacterial small subunit ribosomal RNA", at positions 509 to 807 of the family's 1533-position model. The record is from RNAcentral.